This 253-nucleotide ribosomal RNA is filed under the name uncultured bacterium. RNAcentral's name for it is "partial 16S ribosomal RNA". It matches the Rfam family "Bacterial small subunit ribosomal RNA", at positions 524 to 776 of the family's 1533-position model. The record is from RNAcentral.
UACGGAGGGAGCUAGCGUUGUUCGGAAUUACUGGGCGUAAAGAGCGUGUAGGCUGUUAGGUAAGUCAGAGGUGAAAUCCCUAAGCUCAACUUAGGAACUGCCUUUGAUACUAUCUUACUAGAGAUCGAGAGAAGUUAGCGGAAUUCCAAGUGUAGAGGUGAAAUUCGUAGAUAUUUGGAAGAACACCAGUGGCGAAAGCGGCUAACUGGCUCGUAUCUGACGCUGAGACGCGAAAGCGUGGGUAGCAAACAGG